UGGUUGAGCGAGGAGACGGCGACGAGGUUCCCCAGCAGCCCCCGGUCCUCUGAGGACACGAGUCCCACUGAACUGCCCAUGUGACCUCCCAGCUGGUGGACAGGAUGAGCGGGAAGCACAGUGAGCUGGAGGGUCGCCUCGACGACCUGCUGUCACGCAUCGCCAUGGAGACGCAGGAGAUCAAAGAGCUGGAGCAGCAGCUGACCAACGGUCAGAUUUUGGCGAAUGAGGCUCUGCAGAGAGAUUUGGAGGAGGUGAUCUGUGGACUUCAGGAAUAUCUCAGAGGACUCAGACAGCAGGUACAAACUGUCCUCUCAGUGCUGUAAAC
This is a long non-coding RNA of Stegastes partitus (bicolor damselfish), 328 nucleotides long. RefSeq lists it as uncharacterized. The transcript has 3 exons. Lineage: Eukaryota; Metazoa; Chordata; Actinopteri; Pomacentridae. The record is from RefSeq and is a predicted model, not a curated record.